RNAcentral lists this ribosomal RNA (429 nucleotides) under Pseudomonadota bacterium. Its description in RNAcentral is "Proteobacteria bacterium partial 16S ribosomal RNA". It matches the Rfam family "Bacterial small subunit ribosomal RNA", at positions 355 to 776 of the family's 1533-position model. The record is from RNAcentral. Lineage: Bacteria; Pseudomonadati; Pseudomonadota.
UGGGGAAUAUUGGACAAUGGGCGAAAGCCUGAUCCAGCCAUGCCGCGUGUGUGAAGAAGGUCUUCGGAUUGUAAAGCACUUAAAGUUGGGAGGAAGGGCAGUAAGCGAAUACCUUGCUGUUUUGACGUUACUGACAGAAUAAGCACCGGCUAACUCUGUGCCAGCAGCCGCGGUAAUACAGAGGGUGCAAGCGUUAAUCGGAAUUACUGGGCGUAAAGCGCGCGUAGGUGGUUCGUUAAGUUGAAUGUGAAAGCCCCGGGCUCAACCUGGGAACUGCAUCCAAAACUAGCAAGCUAUAGUAGGGCAGAUGGUAGUGGAAUUUCCUGUGUAGCGGUGAAAUGCGUAGAUAUAGGAAUAAACCCCAUUGGCGAAGGCGACCACCUGGGCUCAUACUGACACUGAGGUGCGAAAGCGUGGGGAGCAAACAGG